UGGGGAAUUUUGGACAAUGGGGGCAACCCUGAUCCAGCAAUGCCGCGUGUGUGAAGAAGGCCUUCGGGUUGUAAAGCACUUUUGUCCGGAAAGAAAACGCCGUGGUUAAUACCCGUGGCGGAUGACGGUACCGGAAGAAUAAGCACCGGCUAACUACGUGCCAGCAGCCGCGGUAAUACGUAGGGUGCAAGCGUUAAUCGGAAUUACUGGGCGUAAAGCGUGCGCAGGCGGUCCGCUAAGACAGAUGUGAAAUCCCCGGGCUUAACCUGGGAACUGCAUUUGUGACUGGCGGGCUAGAGUAUGGCAGAGGGGGGUAGAAUUCCACGUGUAGCAGUGAAAUGCGUAGAGAUGUGGAGGAAUACCGAUGGCGAAGGCAGCCCCCUGGGCCAAUACUGACGCUCAUGCACGAAAGCGUGGGGAGCAAACAGGAUUAGAUACCCUGGUAGUCCACGCCCUAAACGAUGUCAACUAGUUGUGGGGAUUCAUUUCCUUAGUAACGUAGCUAACGCGUGAAGUUGACCGCCUGGGGAGUACGGUCGCAAGAUUAAAAACUCAAAUGAAUUGACGGGGUC
This 572-nucleotide ribosomal RNA is filed under the name uncultured bacterium. Its description in RNAcentral is "partial 16S ribosomal RNA". It matches the Rfam family "Bacterial small subunit ribosomal RNA", at positions 355 to 920 of the family's 1533-position model. The record is from RNAcentral.